Molecule: long non-coding RNA, 589 nt
Filed under: Homo sapiens (human)
Lineage: Eukaryota; Metazoa; Chordata; Mammalia; Primates; Hominidae
Description: non-protein coding lnc-SMC1B-6:1
Source: RNAcentral
AGCCAGCCAGUGGCGUUCCUGGCUCCUCGGGAUUUUCCUUUUCCUCCGAAGCUGCUGAUUCAUCCCCAGGCUGGAGUCAGGCUCAGCUGUGGGGCUGGGAGCAUGGGCUCUCAGGCUGCUGCUGAGUGGAGGAACUGGGCCUCCUGGGAGGUGUCCUCCAGCCUCUCUGGAUGCUCCAUGGGUGGGGGUCGGGAGUGGUGAGGGAAGGGUGGCGCAUCUCAGAGCCCUCGCAAAUUUCUGGCCAGAAAUGUGGGGGUAUGGGCGCAGCUUGGCCAAGGCCAUGCUGCAAGGGCCAGGGUGGCCGUCCUUCCUCACUCCUGUCUGGCCUCCCUCUGCAGGGUGCUUCAAGGAUGACCGCAUCGUCUUCUGGACUUGGAUGUUCUCCACCUACUUCAUGGAGAAAUGGGCUCCCCGGCAGGACGACAUGCUUUUCUAUGUGCGCCGGAAGCUGGCGUACUCCGGCAGCGAAAGCGGUGCAGACGGGAGGAAGAUGAGGAAACGGAGGGCUCGGAGAUGAAGUGAUUCGCCUAACGUAUUUCAUCCACUAAAUCGCAGUGUGGGAGGAGCUAAUAAAAUACAUUUUGCAUGC